AGGAGCCCCAACAGCAGAGGAGACAACAGGUGCAGCAGGCAUGGACGGGCCACAGCCCUCAGACAGGCUGGGAGGAGAGAAAAAUGAGGCUUUACUGAAAUAGUAGGAGAUGGAGAUGCAAUUAAAGACUGGAAAUCCACACGAAUUGGAGGAAGUCCUUUCACAUGAUGCUUCCAUGAUCAGGAGGAUGCUGACAGAUUUCACAGGAAAGAGGAGGCACCGUCCCUCAGAGGAACAACUCGAUGCCCAUCAACUAACAUACAAGCGCUUCAGGAGCCGGAUCCAAAGGAACAGCAGACAGGGUCCGGCUGUGAGUACACCGGUGGCCCCUUGGCGGCAGCAAAGCUUCGAGUUUGAUCCAGUCUGUCAGCAGCUGCAGCUGGAUUCUCCGCCGAAGAACCAUGAAUCAGCGCAGAGAGUCCUUCAGGAUAAGCCUCAAGAGGCGGCACUGGCUCGAGGUGUGUCCCCCUGUGAGGCUUUUAAACCAUCGAACACACCAUGCUGUGUUGAUGCCAGCAGACUGCCUGCCAUAAAAAAUGCCACUGAACCGGAAUGGGUGUGGACAGCUGCAGUAAAAGAAGGGAGAAUACCCCAACAGGCUGGUUCUGGUGACAGAAGACAUGAUUUGCAGCCAUUUGAUGUCUUGAACGAAGCCCCUGUGAAUCUGCAGGGAAAGUCAGUGAUGAAGUUGUUGGCGCCAUCGCUGCUGAAUGACUACUACACUAAUCUCCUCGACUGUAGUUGUGAUGGUUUGGUUGCAUUAGCUCUGGGCUCCUCUGUUUACAUUUGGAAUUCAGAAACUCGUGCCCUGGUGGGACAUUUGGAUCCACAACUAGGACGGCCCCACCGUCACUCCAUCUCGUCUCUGUGCUGGAGCAGAGACGGCAGAGCUCUCUGCAUCGGGACCAGACGAGGGCAGAUACAGUUGUGGGAUGUUGAACAGAAGCAGAGCGUGAGAUGUCUGCUGUCACACCUGUCUGUGGUGGGAGGCCUUUCCUGGAAGCAGCAGUUACUCAGCAGCGGCUCUGUUCUCGGACACAUCCAUCACCUCGACCCUCGGGCCUCUACACCUUUGGUUGGUGCAGCCGUCCAGAAGGAGGCGAUCUGCAGCCUGCAGUGGUCACCGGAGGAUGACUGCUUGGCCAGCGGCUCCACCGAGGGUCACCUGCGCAUCUGGGAUGGUGACAUCACAGGGGUCAAAAGGUCACGUCAGCCAGUCACUACAGUGAAACAGCCCAGCGCUGUCAAGGCGAUGGGAUGGUGCCCAUGGCAGAGACAGGUGAUCGCAACGGGAGGAGGAUGGAAUGAUGGAGAGCUGAGAAUGUGGGACACACUUUCAGGCUCUUGUUUGACGUCGAUCAGCACAAAUUCACAGAUCUGCUCCCUUCGAUGGGCUGAAAAGAAGCGAUAUCUGAUUACAAGUCACGGCCUUCCUCAUCACCAAGUCGCCCGCUGGAGAUGGGAGUUUCCCUCCAUCAGCCCAAUCACCCAGCUAACAGGGGUAGAGGGGCGAUCUUUCUCUGAAUUGUAACCACUGAGUGGAGAUAAUUUCCGCCUUUGCGAGGGCUGUGGUUGUGGUUGUUUUGAGAAGCUACCUUCAAGUUGUCUGAAGGUUUGAAGAAGUCACUCUCAUCGAGUCCUGCACUUGGCCGUAAACCCUGACAACACUCAGAUCUUCUCCGCUGGAGCAGAUCAGCGCUUUCACAUCUGGGAUCUGUAGAUAUUAACAUCAUUCAACAUGACUGCUGAAUGUUGUUGGCAUCUGGUCAGUACCCAUUGUACUUUCUUUUUUCCCCUUCGUUGUAAGAAACUGCUCACGUCCUGCCCCCUAGACUUAACCGACCACAACGCCAAGCUGUCUUACCAUCAGUCCACAACAGCUGUCAGGCUUCAUGUCGGACAAAAUAUUUCAAUUUUUAAAGAUACAGCAGAAAUAAUGCAUUAUUUUAAAAUUACAUAUGGUUUUACUGAAUAUUGUGCAGCUUUCAUACAGUGUCUUCUUCAGCCGACUUGCACUUUAGUAAUAAAAAAUACCUCAGCAUCAAUCAUUUAUAAUCUGCUCACAUCAUCACAAACAUGUUUAAUAUGAGUGAUUCAAGUAACAUUUGAAAAAUAUUGAUGUCACACUUGCAUUAUGUUAACAUUUGAAAGUAUAUUUUUGCAAAGUAACCUCAUGGAAAACAGCAUUUCAACACAAAACAACACUUUUACCAGCUCAAUUAAAAUCUUGGAAUUUUAUUUCA
Molecule: RNA transcript, 2243 nt
Organism: Acanthochromis polyacanthus (spiny chromis)
Lineage: Eukaryota; Metazoa; Chordata; Actinopteri; Pomacentridae
Gene name: cell division cycle protein 20 homolog B
Exons: 13
Source: RefSeq, a predicted model, not a curated record